RNAcentral lists this small RNA (363 nucleotides) under Pongo abelii (Sumatran orangutan). Its description in RNAcentral is "processed transcript". The record is from RNAcentral. Lineage: Eukaryota; Metazoa; Chordata; Mammalia; Primates; Hominidae.
AAUAAUACCAGUGGUAGUGUCCACGGCUCAAAUGUAAGCCCGUUUGGCAUCACUCCUCUCCUCUCUCUGAGAGGAUUUCUUGUGCACAGAGUAUGAAGCAGUUGUGGAGCGCUGUGCCUUUGUCAAGAUACCAUCUUGUUUGUUGACUUCUUUCUUUGCUGUUUUUUCUUCAAAAUGCUGGAGUGCAGUGGUGCAACCACAGCUCACUGCACCUUCAAAUGCUGGGGCUCAAGCAAUCCUCUUACCUCCACUUUCCAAGCAGCUGGGACCACAGAUGUAUCCUCCACUCCUCGCUGGGCACCAUCCUGAUGCCCAACAGAAGAAGCUCUUCUGUCUCUGAUUUCCUGAACGGUCUAAGGACCA